AUUAGCUUGUUGGUGAGGUAACAGCUCACCAAGGCAGCGAUGACUAGGGGGUCUGAGAGGAUGAUCCCCCACACUGGUACUGAGACACGGACCAGACUCCUACGGGAGGCAGCAGUGAGGAAUAUUGGGCAAUGGACGCAAGUCUGACCCAGCCAUGCCGCGUGCAGGAUGACUGCCCUAUGGGUUGUAAACUGCUUUUUUGCGGGAAGAACGUUCUCUACGUGUAGAGAUUUGACGGUACCGUAAGAAUAAGCAUCGGCUAACUCCGUGCCAGCAGCCGCGGUAAUGCGGAGGAUGCAAGCGUUAUCCGGAUUCAUUGGGUUUAAAGGGUGCGUAGGCGGAAUAUUAAGUCAGUGGUGAAAUCCUGCAGCUUAACUGUAGAACUGCCAUUGAUACUGGUAAUCUUAAAUGUAGUUGAGGUGGGCGGAAUGUGUAAUGUAGCGGUGAAAUGCUUAGAUAUUACACAGAACACCGAUUGCGAAGGCAGCUCACUAAACUAUGAUUGACGCUGAGGCACGAAAGCGUGGGGAGCAAACAGGAUUAGAUACCCUGGUAGUCCACGCCGU
RNAcentral lists this ribosomal RNA (566 nucleotides) under uncultured bacterium. RNAcentral describes it as "bacterial SSU rRNA". It matches the Rfam family "Bacterial small subunit ribosomal RNA", at positions 240 to 803 of the family's 1533-position model. The record is from RNAcentral.